This is a non-coding RNA of Carica papaya (papaya), 598 nucleotides long. The record is from RefSeq and is a predicted model, not a curated record. NCBI's taxonomy places the organism in Eukaryota, Viridiplantae, Streptophyta, Magnoliopsida, Brassicales, Caricaceae.
UUUUUCCCUGUCAUCCAGGCUGGUGUUUCAUCCCUUCUGCAGCACCAGUUUGAGGAAUUGGCCAGGCACAAAUUAGGUGAUGGUAGUAGUGGGACAGAAAACAAAAGAAGGAAAUUGGCGGUUAUUGGUCAGGAUUGCAUGGAACCUCUUCAGGCUCUUCGAAGUGCUGGCAAUGAGGUUAUGUAUAUGAACGAGAUGGCAGAAAAGCGUAAAAAUAUGGAGAAUCUGAGGAAGAAAAGAAAAGAGGAGAAGAAACGUUUGCACGAACAGCGAAGAAAGCAGAAACAAAAACUAAAAAGAGAUGAAUCAUAAAAUGGCUUCUUGAGGUGAGGUCACUUCCUGACUGUCAUGUAGACUUCUCAAGGUGCUUCUUGUUUUUAAAAUAUGAACGUAGGAAAAACGAAAUACUUAUGUAUAAGCUUGUUUAUUGAAUCCAAUUCAACCGAUAAAGCCGUUCAUUUUUCUAAAUUGGCUAGAGUUAGUUUUGAACUCUUGGAUGAAUCUGAAGUUUAUGUUGGCAUAUGCUUAUCUAUUUGGUGCGUUGCUAGUUAUUUUCCUUCCAUUGCUACCCAAUAAUAUGACGAUGUUUGAAUGUUUC